AUUGUCGGAUUGGGACCAAGAAGGCAUGCUCUGCUUACAUGAAUUGAUUAGUAGAGAAGAAGGACUGGCAGACGAUAUUCCACGUUUAAGGAAAUAUUUCAAAACCAAGUUUCGAAAUCGAAUUUUAGACUAUAUCCGUAAGCAGGAAAGUCAGAAGCGUAGAUACGAUAAAGAACCCUAUGAAGAAGUGGGUGAGAUCAGUCAUCGUAUAAGUGAGGGGGGUCUCUGGCUAGAUGAUUAUUAUCUCUUUCAUGAAACACUAAGAGAUUAUAGAAACAAACAAAGUAAAGAGAAACAAGAAGAACUAGAACGCGUCUUAAGCAAUGAACGAUUUCGAGGGCGUCAAAGAGUAUUAAGAGACUUACGCAUUGUGUUUAAGGAGUUUACUAUCCGUACCCAUUAGUAAGUCAUGCAAAAAAAAUAAAAAAAAAUUAGAAAAAGUAGUUGACAAAGUUUGAAAAGACUGUAUAAUAGUAAGAGUUGAAAAUAACAACUCAGGUCCGUUGGUCAAGGGGUUAAGACACCGCCUUUUCACGGCGGUAACACGGGUUCGAAUCCCGUACGGACUAUGGUAUGUUGCGUCAGGACCACUUGAUAAAAAAAAGUUUAAAAAAACUUAAAAAUCUUCAAAAAAGUGUUGACAAGUGAAAGUGGCUGUGAUAUACUAAUAUAGUUGUCGCUUGAGAGAAGCAAGUGACAAAGACCUUUGAAAACUGAACAAGACGAACCAAUGUGCAGGGCGCUACAACAUAAGUUGUAGUACUGAACAAUGAAAAAANNNNNNNNNNNNNNNNNNNNNNNNNNNNNNNNNNNNNNNNNNNNNNNNNNCUUAAAAGGUGCACUUGCAUCACUACCAGAUGGACCUGCGUUGUAUUAGCUAGUUGGUGGGGUAACGGCUCACCAAGGCGACGAUACAUAGCCGACCUGAGAGGGUGAUCGGCCACACUGGGACUGAGACACGGCCCAGACUCCUACGGGAGGCAGCAGUAGGGAAUCUUCGGCAAUGGACGGAAGUCUGACCGAGCAACGCCGCGUGAGUGAAGAAGGUUUUCGGAUCGUAAAGCUCUGUUGUAAGAGAAGAACGAGUGUGAGAGUGGAAAGUUCACACUGUGACGGUAUCUUACCAGAAAGGGACGGCUAACUACGUGCCAGCAGCCGCGGUAAUACGUAGGUCCCGAGCGUUGUCCGGAUUUAUUGGGCGUAAAGCGAGCGCAGGCGGUUAGAUAAGUCUGAAGUUAAAGGCUGUGGCUUAACCAUAGUAGGCUUUGGAAACUGUUUAACUUGAGUGCAAGAGGGGAGAGUGGAAUUCCAUGUGUAGCGGUGAAAUGCGUAGAUAUAUGGAGGAACACCGGUGGCGAAAGCGGCUCUCUGGCUUGUAACUGACGCUGAGGCUCGAAAGCGUGGGGAGCAAACAGGAUUAGAUACCCUGGUAGUCCACGCUGUAAACGAUGAGUGCUAGGUGUUAGACCCUUUCCGGGGUUUAGUGCCGUAGCUAACGCAUUAAGCACUCCGCCUGGGGAGUACGACCGCAAGGUUGAAACUCAAAGGAAUUGACGGGGGCCCGCACAAGCGGUGGAGCAUGUGGUUUAAUUCGAAGCAACGCGAAGAACCUUACCAGGUCUUGACAUCCCUCUGACCGCUCUAGAGAUAGAGNUUUCCUUCGGGACAGAGGUGACAGGUGGUGCAUGGUUGUCGUCAGCUCGUGUCGUGAGAUGUUGGGUUAAGUCCCGCAACGAGCGCAACCCCUAUUGUUAGUUGCCAUCAUUUAGUUGGGCACUCUAGCGAGACUGCCGGUAAUAAACCGGAGGAAGGUGGGGAUGACGUCAAAUCAUCAUGCCCCUUAUGACCUGGGCUACACACGUGCUACAAUGGCUGGUACAACGAGUCGCAAGCCGGUGACGGCAAGCUAAUCUCUUAAAGCCAGUCUCAGUUCGGAUUGUAGGCUGCAACUCGCCUACAUGAAGUCGGAAUCGCUAGUAAUCGCGGAUCAGCACGCCGCGGUGAAUACGUUCCCGGGCCUUGUACACACCGCCCGUCACACCACGAGAGUUUGUAACACCCGAAGUCGGUGAGGUAACCGUAAGGAGCCAGCCGCCUAAGGUGGGAUAGAUGAUUGGGGUGAAGUCGUAACAAGGUAGCCGUAUCGGAAGGUGCGGCUGGAUCACCU
RNAcentral lists this ribosomal RNA (2167 nucleotides) under Streptococcus pneumoniae. RNAcentral describes it as "16S ribosomal RNA". The stretch from base 624 to 2167 matches the Rfam family "Bacterial small subunit ribosomal RNA". The record is from RNAcentral. Lineage: Bacteria; Bacillati; Bacillota; Bacilli; Lactobacillales; Streptococcaceae.